GGUGGCGGACGGGUGAGGAAUACAUCGGAAUCUACUCUGUCGUGGGGGAGUAACGUAGGGAAACUUACGCUAAUACCGCAUACGACCUACGGGUGAAAGCAGGGGAUCUUCGGACCUUGCGCGAUUGAAUGAGCCGAUGUCGGAUUAGCUAGUUGGCGGGGUAAAGGGCCACCAAGGCGACGAUCCGUAGCUGGUCUGAGAGGAUGAUCAGCCACACUGGAACUGAGACACGGUCCAGACUCCUACGGGAGGCAGCAGCA
This 260-nucleotide ribosomal RNA is filed under the name uncultured Stenotrophomonas sp. RNAcentral describes it as "partial 16S ribosomal RNA". It matches the Rfam family "Bacterial small subunit ribosomal RNA", at positions 94 to 355 of the family's 1533-position model. The record is from RNAcentral. Lineage: Bacteria; Pseudomonadati; Pseudomonadota; Gammaproteobacteria; Lysobacterales; Lysobacteraceae.